Molecule: small nuclear RNA, 106 nt
Organism: Pipistrellus kuhlii (Kuhl's pipistrelle)
Lineage: Eukaryota; Metazoa; Chordata; Mammalia; Chiroptera; Vespertilionidae
Source: RefSeq, a predicted model, not a curated record
GUGUUCACUUCAGCAGCAAAUAUACUAAAGUUGGAACAAUACAGAGAAAAUUAGCAUAGCCCUGCACAAGAAUGACACACAAAUUCAUAAAGCAUUCCAUAUUUUU